RNAcentral lists this ribosomal RNA (702 nucleotides) under uncultured bacterium. RNAcentral describes it as "bacterial SSU rRNA". It matches the Rfam family "Bacterial small subunit ribosomal RNA", at positions 9 to 694 of the family's 1533-position model. The record is from RNAcentral.
GAGUUUGAUCCUGGCUCAGGACGAACGCUGGCGGCGUGCCUAAUACAUGCAAGUAGAACGCUGAAGUCUGGUGCUUGCACUAGACGGAUGAGUUGCGAACGGGUGAGUAACGCGUAGGUAACCUGCCUCAUAGCGGGGGAUAACUAUUGGAAACGAUAGCUAAUACCGCAUAACAGUAUUUACUGCAUGGUAGAUACUUGAAAGGAGCAAUUGCUUCACUAUGAGAUGGACCUGCGUUGUAUUGGCUAGUUGGUGAGGUAAAGGCUCACCAAGGCGACGAUACAUAGCCGACCUGAGAGGGUGAUCGGCCACACUGGGACUGAGACACGGCCCAGACUCCUACGGGAGGCAGCAGUAGGGAAUCUUCGGCAAUGGGGGGAACCCUGACCGAGCAACGCCGCGUGAGUGAAGAAGGUUUUCGGAUCGUAAAGCUCUGUUGUUAGAGAAGAACGUGUGUGAGAGUGGAAAGUUCACACAGUGACGGUAACUAAUCGGAAAGGGACGGCUAACUACGUGCCAGCAGCCGCGGUAAUACGUAGGUCCCGAGCGUUGUCCGGAUUUAUUGGGCGUAAAGCGAGCGCAGGCGGUUCUGUAAGUCUGAAGUUAAAGGCAGUGGCUUAACCAUUGUACGCUUUGGAAACUGCAGGACUUGAGUGCAGAAGGGGAGAGUGGAAUUCCAUGUGUAGCGGUGAAAUGCGUAGA